CGGCGGACGGGUGAGUAACGCGUGGGUAACCUGCCUCAUACAGGGGGAUAACAGUUGGAAACGGCUGCUAAUACCGCAUAAGCGCACAGUACCGCAUGGUACGGUGUGAAAAACUCCGGUGGUAUGAGAUGGACCCGCGUCCGAUUAGGUAGUUGGUGGGGUAACGGCCUACCAAGCCGACGAUCAGUAGCCGACCUGAGAGGGUGACCGGCCACAUUGGGACUGAGACACGGCCCAA
This 238-nucleotide ribosomal RNA is filed under the name uncultured bacterium. Its description in RNAcentral is "partial 16S ribosomal RNA". It matches the Rfam family "Bacterial small subunit ribosomal RNA", at positions 96 to 334 of the family's 1533-position model. The record is from RNAcentral.